Molecule: unclassified non-coding RNA, 271 nt
Filed under: air metagenome
Description: partial contains small subunit ribosomal RNA, internal transcribed spacer 1, and 5.8S ribosomal RNA
Rfam family: Eukaryotic small subunit ribosomal RNA (bases 1-46)
Source: RNAcentral
AAGUCGUAACAAGGUUUCCGUAGGUGAACCUGCGGAAGGAUCAUUAUUGAAUAAACCUGAUGUGGUUGUUGCUGGCUCUCUCGAGAGUAUGUGCACGCCCGUCAUCUUUAUAUUUCCACCUGUGCACCUUUUGUAGACCCGCGCGAUUUGAGCAAUCAAGUCAAGUAGGCCUACGUUUUAUCAUAUACCCCAUAGUAUGUAUCAGAAUGUAUCAGUGGGCUUCGUGCCUAUAAACACUAUACAACUUUCAGCAACGGAUCUCUUGGCUCUC